CUGACACAGGUGCUGCAUGGCGUGUCGUCAGCUCGUGUCGUGAGAUGUUGGGUUAAGUCCCGUAACGAGCGCAACCCUUGUCCUUAGUUACCAGCACGUUAUGGUGGGCACUCUAAGGAGACUGCCGGUGACAAACCGGAGGAAGGUGGGGAUGACGUCAAGUCAUCAUGGCCCUUACGGCCUGGGCUACACACGUGCUACAAUGGUCGGUACAAAGGGUUGCCAAGCCGCGAGGUGGAGCUAAUCCCAUAAAACCGAUCGUAGUCCGGAUCGCAGUCUGCAACUCGAUUGCGUGAAGUCGGAAUCGCUAGUAAUCGUGAAUCAGAAUGUCACGGUGAAUACGUUCCCGGGCCUU
Molecule: ribosomal RNA, 355 nt
Filed under: uncultured Pseudomonas sp.
Lineage: Bacteria; Pseudomonadati; Pseudomonadota; Gammaproteobacteria; Pseudomonadales; Pseudomonadaceae
Description: bacterial SSU rRNA
Rfam family: Bacterial small subunit ribosomal RNA
Source: RNAcentral